AUAAAAAAAUCAAUAAUUCAUCAUUUACACCACUUAAUUCAAUAUGAAAGCUUUAUCGGUUAGACAUCACUGGUGAAAUAGAAUCUUAAAUUUGUUGUCAAUACAUGCAGCUACCCUGACUUGCCGUGUUCUGGCCGAAACGUCAAUGACCAAAAUUUGAAUGUCGAACAUAACCUGUAAGAAAGUGAGAGUGACAUGUUUACUUUUGAACAAUUUAUAAUAAAUUUUUAUUGUAUUUGUAUUCUUUUCAUAAAAUAUAGGAAAUAAAUUAAUAGAAUUAGUUCUUAAAUUUCCUAGUACACUUCCAAUCAUAAGAAUGGAUGAGGACAAAUAGCUAAGAAGUUUUUCAUCACACAAGACAUUCCCUGACUGCUGCCUGCUAGACAAUAUACUGAGUGAAUUGAAGAAUUGUGGAGAUUCAACAAUGAAGACAUGAAAUUGUAAUAGUGCGACAAGUUAUCUGUGUACCAAAUUAAGAAUUAAUUUAAUAGUCAUAGUUAUUACUCUUUUAUGCCAUACAGUGCAUACAUUUUAUACCUCAUUUAUUCAGAAUAAAUGGUUAAAUUAGA
Long non-coding RNA from Anthonomus grandis grandis, 569 nucleotides. RefSeq lists it as uncharacterized. Lineage: Eukaryota; Metazoa; Arthropoda; Insecta; Coleoptera; Curculionidae. The record is from RefSeq and is a predicted model, not a curated record. The transcript has 2 exons.